RNAcentral lists this ribosomal RNA (889 nucleotides) under Lentzea guizhouensis. Its description in RNAcentral is "bacterial SSU rRNA". It matches the Rfam family "Bacterial small subunit ribosomal RNA", at positions 56 to 958 of the family's 1533-position model. The record is from RNAcentral. Lineage: Bacteria; Bacillati; Actinomycetota; Actinomycetes; Pseudonocardiales; Pseudonocardiaceae.
UGCAGUCGAGCGGUAGGCCCUUCGGGGUACACGAGCGGCGAACGGGUGAGUAACACGUGGGUAACCUGCCCUGUACUCUGGGAUAAGCCUUGGAAACGAGGUCUAAUACCGGAUACGACCACUGAUCGCAUGAUCGAUGGUGGAAAGUUCCGGCGGUAUGGGAUGGACCCGCGGCCUAUCAGCUUGUUGGUGGGGUAAUGGCCUACCAAGGCGACGACGGGUAGCCGGCCUGAGAGGGUGAUCGGCCACACUGGGACUGAGACACGGCCCAGACUCCUACGGGAGGCAGCAGUGGGGAAUAUUGCACAAUGGGCGAAAGCCUGAUGCAGCGACGCCGCGUGAGGGAUGACGGCCUUCGGGUUGUAAACCUCUUUCAGCAGGGACGAAGCGCAAGUGACGGUACCUGCAGAAGAAGCACCGGCUAACUACGUGCCAGCAGCCGCGGUAAUACGUAGGGUGCGAGCGUUGUCCGGAAUUAUUGGGCGUAAAGAGCUCGUAGGCGGUUUGUCGCGUCGGCCGUGAAAACUUGGGGCUUAACCCCGAGCCUGCGGUCGAUACGGGCAGACUUGAGUUCGGCAGGGGAGACUGGAAUUCCUGGUGUAGCGGUGAAAUGCGCAGAUAUCAGGAGGAACACCGGUGGCGAAGGCGGGUCUCUGGGCCGAUACUGACGCUGAGGAGCGAAAGCGUGGGGAGCGAACAGGAUUAGAUACCCUGGUAGUCCACGCCGUAAACGGUGGGUGCUAGGUGUGGGGGACUUCCACGUCCUCCGUGCCGCAGCUAACGCAUUAAGCACCCCGCCUGGGGAGUACGGCCGCAAGGCUAAAACUCAAAGGAAUUUGACGGGGGGCCCGCACAAGCGGCGGGAGCAUGUGGAAUUAAUUUCGAUGCC